UCUGGUUGAUCCUGCCAGAGGUCACCGCUAUUGGAAUUCGACUAAGCCAUGCGAGUUGAGAGUCUUAGGGACUCGGCAGACGGCUCAGUAACACGUAGAUAAUCUGCCCUUGGGUGGGGGAUAACCUCGGGAAACUGAGAAUAAUACCCCAUAGGUCUAGAAUGCUGGAAUGCUUUUAGGCUUAAAACUCCGGUGCCCAAGGAUGAGUCUGCGACCUAUCAGGUAGUAGUGAGUGUAACGUACUCACUAGCCGACAACGGGUACGGGCCUUGAGAGAGGUUGCCCGGAGAUGGAUUCUGAGACACGAAUCCAGGCCCUACGGGGCGCAGCAGGCGCGAAACCUUCGCAAUGCGGGAAACCGCGACGAGGGGAUUCCAAGUGCUAAUACAUUGUAUUAGCUGUUUUUUAGCCUAAAAAGCUAGAAGAGUAAGGGCUGGGUAAGUCUGGUCCCAGCCGCCGCGGUAAUACCAGCAGCCCAAGUGGUGAUCGUUAUUAUUGGGCCUACAACGUCCGUAGCCGGUCUAGUAAAUCCUUUGAUAAAUCGUACAGCUUAACUGUACGCCUCCUGAGGAGACUGCUAGACUUGGGACUGGGAGAGGUCGGAGGUACUCCAGGGGUAGGGGUGAAAUCCUGUAAUCCUUGGGGGUCCACCGGUGGCGAAGGCGUCCGACUUGAACGGGUCCGACGGUAAGGGACGAAGCCCUGGGGCGCAAACCGGAUUAGAUACCCGGGUAGUCCAGGGUGUAAACGCUGUGGACUUGGUGUUGGGGGUCCUACGAGGGCGCCCAGUGCCGGAGAGAAGUUGUUAAGUCCACUGCCUGGGGAGUACGGUCGCAAGACUGAAACUUAAAGGAAUUGGCGGGGGAGCACCGCAACGGGAGGAGCGUGCGGUUCAAUUGGAUUCAACGCCGGAAAACUCACCGGGGGCGACUGUUAUAUGAAGGCCAAGCUGAUGACUUUGCCAGAUUUUCAGAGAGGUGGUGCAUGGCCGCCGUCAGUUCGUACCGCAAGGCGUUCUGUUAAGUCAGAUAACGAACGAGACCCCCACCCUUAAUUGCCAGCUUUCUCUCCGGAGGAAGGGAACAUUAGGGGGACCGCUGGCGCUAAGUCAGAGGAAGGAGGGGGCAACGGUAGGUCAGUAUGCCCCGAAUCUCCCGGGCAACACGCGCGCUACAAAGGCUGGGACAAUGAGUUCCGACCCCGAAAGGGGUAGGUAAUCUUCAAACCUAGUUAUAGUUCGGAUUGAGGGCUGUAACCCGCCCUCAUGAAGGUGGAUUCCCUAGUAAUCGCGGGUCAACAUCCCGCGGUGAAUAUGCCCCUGCUCCUUGCACACACCGCCCGUCAAACCAUCUCAGUUGGGCUAAGAUGAGGGUAUCUUUUUUGGGGUGCUCAAAUCUUUGUUCAGCAAGGAGGGUUAAGUCGUAACAAGGUA
RNAcentral lists this ribosomal RNA (1432 nucleotides) under metagenome. Its description in RNAcentral is "bacterial SSU rRNA". It matches the Rfam family "Archaeal small subunit ribosomal RNA". The record is from RNAcentral.